Aquila chrysaetos chrysaetos is the source of this 101-nucleotide long non-coding RNA. RefSeq lists it as uncharacterized. Lineage: Eukaryota; Metazoa; Chordata; Aves; Accipitriformes; Accipitridae. The record is from RefSeq and is a predicted model, not a curated record. The transcript has 3 exons.
AUCAGUUAAUAUUUAAAAUAGGGAAACAAUAGCUACACAUGAUUUAGGCUUUAGGAACUAACUACGAGACAAUGGGAGUUUAUCAAUAAAUAGGAGGUUUA